AACGGAUUAUUCUUUAUAGCUUGCUAUGAUAAAAAUUAGUGGCAGACGGGUGAGUAAUGCAUAGGAAUCUACCUAGUAGUAUGGGAUAGCCACUAGAAAUGGUGGGUAAUACUGUAUAAUCCCUGCGGGGGAAAGAUUUAUCGCUAUUAGAUGAGCCUAUGUUAGAUUAGCUAGUUGGUAGGGUAAAGGCCUACCAAGGCAGUGAUCUAUAGCUGGUCUGAGAGGAUGAUCAGCCACACUGGAACUGAGAUACGGUCCAGACUCCUACGGGAGGCAGCAGUGGGGAAUAUUGGACAAUGGGCGCAAGCCUGAUCCAGCUAUGCCGCGUGAGUGAGGAAGGCCUUAGGGUUGUAAAACUCUUUCAGUGGGGAAGAUAAUGACGGUACCCACAGAAGAAGUCCCGGCAAACUCCGUGCCAGCAGCCGCGGUAAUACGGAGGGGGCAAGCGUUGUUCGGAAUUAUUGGGCGUAAAGGGCAUGUAGGCGGUUCGGUAAGUUAAAGGUGAAAUGCCAGG
This 514-nucleotide ribosomal RNA is filed under the name uncultured Anaplasma sp. RNAcentral describes it as "bacterial SSU rRNA". It matches the Rfam family "Bacterial small subunit ribosomal RNA", at positions 65 to 606 of the family's 1533-position model. Lineage: Bacteria; Pseudomonadati; Pseudomonadota; Alphaproteobacteria; Rickettsiales; Anaplasmataceae. The record is from RNAcentral.